GACAGCGACGGGCGAAGCUCCGGGCGUGGCGUUGGCAUGUCCUCGGGGAAGACACAGCCAACGGCGACGGUUGUUCGGAAAACCUUGUCAAAGGGGUAGAGAGGGGUCACGGGAGUCGUUCUGUGCAAUGAAUUCAGGAAUGAGGAAUCGGAGCGAGCUCACCGUGGACAAAGGAGGCGACGGACGGUGAAGGAAGACGGCCAUAGCAUGCGAUCUACAAAGCUCCAUAGGAAAAACUCUCAAUAAGAAAACGGGGGAGGAUGGCCAAAGGUUCGAAGUGACGCGCUCGGAAUCGUCCUUUAUAGACCGAGGAGGGAGAUCGGGCAUGGAUGUCGACAGGCGGCAUUAGGGGCUGGCCAUUAAUGGCUAGAGGCCGUGAUUGAGGAAUUUAAGGAGGGGAUUAGAGAGAGGAGGGCCGUGGGGUGCGGUUUAGUGCACCUGGACGGGCCGAGCGGGGAGGGGGCGUGGUCGGCGGCGUAGAUCAUGGCGUGAUGGCGCUGUUCUGUCUUGCGUGCGGGAGGAGGAAGACGAGCUCGUACUCGUGCUCGCUGGGCUGGGCUGAUGGGGCUCAGCCGGGACAUGGGCCAGGAGGGAGAGGGGCCAAGGCCCAGAGGAAAAAGAAGAAUGAAAAAAAACGAAGGGGAAGGGAGAAGAUGGGCUGGGCUGGUUCGGUGAUGUUGGGCCAGCUGGAGAGGCUUCGGCCCAUAAAGAAAAAGAAAAGAAGGAGGAUGGGCUGCGGCCAGGGGGAAAAGAGAUGGGCCGGCUGAAAAGAUGGGUUUCGACCCGGAGAUAGGUUUAGGCCUUUUUAUGGCCUUUUCUAAUACAAAUAAAAUCACUGAAAUUCGAAUAUGGUUUUAUAAAUACCAUAUGAACUCCAU
Molecule: long non-coding RNA, 878 nt
Filed under: Brachypodium distachyon (stiff brome)
Lineage: Eukaryota; Viridiplantae; Streptophyta; Magnoliopsida; Poales; Poaceae
Description: long non-coding RNA (BDIS_LNC003381)
Source: RNAcentral